This 492-nucleotide ribosomal RNA is filed under the name uncultured bacterium. RNAcentral's name for it is "partial 16S ribosomal RNA". It matches the Rfam family "Bacterial small subunit ribosomal RNA", at positions 29 to 507 of the family's 1533-position model. The record is from RNAcentral.
AGUGAACGCUGGCGGUAGGCCUAACACAUGCAAGUCGAACGGCAGCACAGUAAGAGCUUGCUCUUACGGGUGGCGAGUGGCGGACGGGUGAGGAAUACAUCGGAAUCUACUUUUUCGUGGGGGAUAACGUAGGGAAACUUACGCUAAUACCGCAUACGACCUACGGGUGAAAGCAGGGGAUCUUCGGACCUUGCGCGAUUGAAUGAGCCGAUGUCGGAUUAGCAAGUUGGCGGGGUAAAGGCCCACCAAGGCGACGGUCCUUAGCUGGUCUGAGAGGAUGAUCAGCCACCCUGGAACUGAGACAGGGCCCAGACACCUACGGGAGGCAGCAGUGGGGAAUAUUGGACAAUGGGCGCAAGCCUGAUCCAGCCAUACCGCGUGGGUGAAGAAGGCCUUCGGGUUGUAAAGCCCUUUUGUUGGGAAAGAAAAGCAGCAGGUUAAUACCCCGCUGUUCUGACGGUACCCAAAGAAUAAGCACCGGCUAACUUCGUG